Molecule: long non-coding RNA, 1835 nt
Filed under: Marmota monax (woodchuck)
Lineage: Eukaryota; Metazoa; Chordata; Mammalia; Rodentia; Sciuridae
Source: RNAcentral
AAAGAAUCAGUGCAUUCUGACCUAGGCUAGCAAGAAAGGAUGCCUUAUGUGGAUAGUGGCCUACUUACCCCUUUGCCUAGACUUGCAAGACACCCAAGAGCCCAGGUUACCUCUAAAUACACAAGGAAAGUGGUCGACCUGAAAGGACUGAUUUUGAAAUCAAACACAGACAAUGCCUGUCAAGAAAACAUUUUCACAUGCCGAGCCAAUAACUGAGCAUGCAUUACGUUUCAGGUACAGUGUGUGGUGGAGAUCCCUGCAGAGGCCAGCCUGGCCCCUGCCAGUGGCUCCCAACCUCACACCUCCAUGUGAGACACCAGUGACUGUUCCCCAGGUAUUCCUAGCCCUCACUCACUCUCCAUUAAAAAGCCAGGUGAGGGAAGUCUCAGUGGCAGGUCUCUGCUGUGGCGAGGGGAAGCUCACAAAGUGGUGGGGGCUCUGGGCCAGGACCCAGCAGCCAUCAGCAUCGUGUCUGGGUACCCUCCACAAUGACACCCCUGGGGAAGGUGUCAGGCUUCUGCCCUCUGAGCCUGGAAUACCAGCGCACUCAUGCUGACCCCAGAGGGAGGGACGUGUGGCCAAGCCUAGGAAGCCUGUCUGUGGGUUCAAGGAGUGGCACUCACUAUGCUCAAGGGACCAAGAAUGUGGCCCAGCUAUGGUGGCUGAAGAGAAGCCUCCUUUAUCUUUGUGCCAGGAAAGAAAGCGACUGCAGCUUUUUACAAAACACACACCACUGUCCGUCUCCUGAAUUUAAAGAAUUUCAAAGACAUUAUUUCAGUGUGUAAGGAUGCAGAUUCAGUUCAUGUCCAAGAAAGCCAGCUUUACACAAUGUAGGAGCCAGGCAGCGGCACCUUCAUCCUGUGGGACUGAGGCCCUCUGAGCACAAUGUGCAAGGGAGGAAGCCAAGGGGAGGGGAGCUCCUGACAGGACAGGAGCAUCCUCCCCAGACCCUUGAGGCUGGGAGAUUAGAUCAUGACAAAGCAGGGUGUCACUUUGGACAGUCCUUUGGGACUGGAGGCCAGAGGGGUGUGACAGGAGGUAAGCUCAGGACCUGGGAGGGGCCAGCACCCCUGUUGCUCCACUUCCCUAGAAGCUGCUCCAUCACACCAGAGCUGCUUCACCUCCCCAGAGCUGCUCCACCUCAGCAGGGCAACUCCACCUCCCCAGGGAUGCUCUACCUUAGAAGGGAGAAGAGGUAGUGGGGCAGCCUCAGAUGUGACCUGGCAUGGUGGGGAGACUGGCAUUACUCAAUUCCCAGGUCUACAUUAGGCCCCCAGGCCCAGAGCUUGCUUUUUUGGGGCCUUCACUGCAGAUGGCAGAGUUUUGACAGGCCUCUAAAUGGGCUGCAAGAUCAGUGUCCCCGUUGGCAUGUCUGUGUGACCCUGAGCCCCUGCAGACUGUUGCACACCUGGCACAAGUGCUCACAUUCACAGGGCCUCUCCCUGGCCCCACAGUGCCCUGUCCUGGAGGGUGCAGGGCCCUAUUAGCUGGCAUCCCAGGACAGCUCCCAUACCGGCUGGGCACCUCUUCCAAGGGGACUGAGAAUUGGGGCCUUGCCACCCCAAAGACCACCUGGUGAGGGGACCUCAGGAGAAUGAACCCUCAGCAAGUGCCAGGUCUUCUUGCAGCUCAGUGUCCAGCCUGGCUCUUUGCUUCCAGUAGGGCCCUCUCAGAGGCUAGAGUCUGACAACUUCCCAUGGAGGUCAGGUUUCCAAGUCAAGCAAUAUGCCUGGAUGGUUGUGAGGGUCACUUCUGAGAAAUAGGUAGAAAGUCUGGACUGUGGUAUAUGGGUUGAGGAGUCAGGGUCCUGGUUUAGCCACACCCUCCUUUGAGGU